Molecule: ribosomal RNA, 464 nt
Filed under: uncultured Streptococcus sp.
Lineage: Bacteria; Bacillati; Bacillota; Bacilli; Lactobacillales; Streptococcaceae
Description: bacterial SSU rRNA
Rfam family: Bacterial small subunit ribosomal RNA
Source: RNAcentral
CCUACGGGCGGCAGCAGUAGGGAAUCUUCGGCAAUGGACGGAAGUCUGACCGAGCAACGCCGCGUGAGUGAAGAAGGUUUUCGGAUCGUAAAGCUCUGUUGUAAGAGAAGAACGAGUGUGAGAGUGGAAAGUUCACACUGUGACGGUAUCUUACCAGAAAGGGACGGCUAACUACGUGCCAGCAGCCGCGGUAAUACGUAGGUCCCGAGCGUUGUCCGGAUUUAUUGGGCGUAAAGCGAGCGCAGGCGGUUAGAUAAGUCUGAAGUUAAAGGCUGUGGCUUAACCAUAGUACGCUUUGGAAACUGUUUAACUUGAGUGCAAGAGGGGAGAGUGGAAUUCCAUGUGUAGCGGUGAAAUGCGUAGAUAUAUGGAGGAACACCGGUGGCGAAAGCGGCUCUCUGGCUUGUAACUGACGCUGAGGCUCGAAAGCGUGGGGAGCAAACAGGAUUAAUACCCGUGUAGUC